AACGAACGCUGGCGGCAGGCCUAACACAUGCAAGUCGAGCGGUGACAUCGGUUCUAGCGGCGGACGGGUGAGUAACGGGUGGGAAUGUGCCCUUCUCUACGUAAUAGCCCUGGGAAACUGGGAGUAAUCUCGUAUACGCCCUUUUGGGGACAGAUCUCUCGGAGAAGGAUCAGCCCGCGUUGGAUUAGGUAGUUCGUGGGGUAAUGGCCUACCAAGCCGCCGAUCCAUAGCUGGUUUGUGAGGAUGAGCAGCCACACUCGGACUGGGACACGGCGGAGACUCCUACGGGAGGCAGGAGUGGCGGAUCUUAGCAAACGGGGGCAAUCAGGAUCUACCCAUGCCGCGUGAGUGAUGAAGGCGGGAGGGAGGUAAAGCUAGUUCAGCUGGGAAGAUAAUGACGGUACCAGCAGAAGAAGCCCCGGCUAACUCCGUG
RNAcentral lists this ribosomal RNA (433 nucleotides) under uncultured bacterium. Its description in RNAcentral is "partial 16S ribosomal RNA". It matches the Rfam family "Bacterial small subunit ribosomal RNA", at positions 29 to 507 of the family's 1533-position model. The record is from RNAcentral.